GUGUGUGAUCAGAAAAGUUUGGAGAUCAUAGCCAUAGAGAACUAAAAUGAGAAAUCAGAUCAAAGCGGUAAGGCUAACCUUCAGCAUUGCUGUUCUGUCCAUUUUCUGACGACAUCUUCUCAAAGAUUGCUCUCCCCCUUUUCACACUGGACUCCAUCACAGAAAUGUCUGAAUGGCUCCCAGGCUGACUCGCUGAUGUUGGUGACAGUGAGCUUCUCCCACUUUCUCCUUCCUGUUUGAAGACAUCGAGGGGAUGUGAUUUAGAAGCUACUGGUAAAUUGGUCUUAAGUGAUUUCCACCUAAAUACUUUUAUGGACAGAUUUCUGAGAUGGUGGCCACCAUGUGAGAAGGCUUGAAGUCACGUCAACCUUUUUUAACUGUGUAUGUGUCUAGUCUUGGUGAGAGCAAGUAUUCAAUUGGGGCACAGACUGUUUUGUGGAGCACCCUGUUUAACAGCGUUCACUCUUUUUUUUUGUUGGACACAAGUUGCUGAAAUGUGUCUACAAAAUGCAUAUGUAAGAAAUGAAUAA
RNAcentral lists this long non-coding RNA (530 nucleotides) under Anser brachyrhynchus (Pink-footed goose). RNAcentral's name for it is "lncRNA (ENSABRG00000023156.1)". Lineage: Eukaryota; Metazoa; Chordata; Aves; Anseriformes; Anatidae. The record is from RNAcentral.